RNAcentral lists this ribosomal RNA (492 nucleotides) under uncultured bacterium. RNAcentral describes it as "partial 16S ribosomal RNA". It matches the Rfam family "Bacterial small subunit ribosomal RNA", at positions 29 to 507 of the family's 1533-position model. The record is from RNAcentral.
AGUGAACGCUGGCGGUAGGCCUAACACAUGCAAGUCGAACGGCAGCACAGUAAGAGCUUGCUCUUACGGGUGGCGAGUGGCGGACGGGUGAGGAAUACAUCGGAAUCUACUUUUUCGUGGGGGAUAACGUAGGGAAACUUACGCUAAUACCGCAUACGACCUACGGGUGAAAGCAGGGGAUCUUCGGACCUUGCGCGAUUGAAUGAGCCGAUGUCGGAUUAGCUAGUUGGCGGGGUAAAGGCCCACCAAGGCGACGAUCCGUAGCUGGUCUGAGAGGAUGAUCAGCCACACUGGAACUGAGACACGGUCCAGACUCCGACGGGAGGCAGCAGUGGGGAAUAUUGGACAAGGGGCGCAAGCCUGAUCCAGCCAUACCGCGUGGGUGAAGAAGGCCUUCGGGUUGUAAAGCCCUUUUGUUGGGAAAGAAAAGCAGCAGGUUAAUACCCCGCUGUUCUGACGGUACCCAAAGAAUAAGCACCGGCUAACUUCGUG